UGUUAAAGAUUAAGCCAUGCAUGUGUAAGUAUAAAGACUAAGUAAGAUGAAACUGCGGACGGCUCAUUACAACAGUUAUAGUUUCUUUGGUUAGUGCAAUAAGGAUAACUCUGUUAAUUGUAGAGCUAAUACUCGAGACAAUCCCUAAUCAAAUUGAUUAGGGCGAUCACACUUUGUGUGAAACAAACCAAUCCUUAACUGAAUAAGGGAAAGGGGACAAUUGUAGAAGGCCAGGAAUUUAACAAGGAACCAAUGAGAAUAUCUGACCUAUCAACUAGAUGGUAAGGUAGUGGCUUACCAUGGUGAUAACGGGUAACGAGAAAUAAGGGUUUGAAAUCGGAGAGGGAGCAUUCAAAAUGGCUACCACUUCUAAGGAAGGCAGCAGGCGCGAAAAUUACCCACUUCAAACGAUGAGAGGUAGUGACGACAAAUAACUAAAACCAGCACACAGUGUUGAGUUUUGGGGAUGAGCCAGAAGCAAAGACUCUGGCGAACGCGAUUGGAGGGCAAGUCUGGUGCCAGCAGCCGCGGUAAUUCCAGCUCCAAUAGUGUAUAUUAAAGUUGUUGUGAUUAAAAAGCUCGUAGUUGAAAGGAACAUAGAAGGACUCGAGGAAGCAAAGCAUUCGUGCAGCGCUACACUGGAGUCAUAACGCUAAAACACUCACCAUUGCUAUUCGUAGUAAUGGGAGAGAUAUUUACUUUGACAAAAUAUGAGUGUUUAAAGCAAAGCAUAAGCUAAUGGAAUAUGAAGCAUGGGAUAAUACGGAGGGGAUUCAUUCGCCAAAGUCGUUUCGAUGACAGAGGCAAGGAAUACCGAGAGAAGGAAUAAUAGAAAGAGAUGGGGUGAUUUAUACGGAAAUGGGAGAGGUGGAAAUCCAUGAUCAUUUCAGGAUAAACAAGAGCGAAAGCAUUUCACUUAAAUCUAUUCAUUAAUCAAGAACGAAAGUUAGGGGAUCGAAGACGAUUAGAUACCGUCGUAGUCCUAACUAUAAACGAUGUCAACGGAGGAUUGGAAAGAAAGACGACAAGUGCUUAUAGUGACUCGUCACUGGGCAGAAUUGUCAACGGACUCAGUUCAGCAUUCAGCGGGAAACCGAGAGUUAAUGGACUUCAGGGGGAGUAUCGUCGCAAGGCAGAAACUUAAAGGAAUUGACGGAAGGGCACACCAGGGGUGGAGCUUGCGGCUUAAUUUGACUCAACACGGGAAAACUUACCAAGACCAAACAUCUCGAGGAAUGACAGAUUAAGGGAACUUUCAUGAUAAGAUGAGGAGUGGUGCAUGGCCGUUCUUAGUUGGUGGAGUGAUUUGUCAGGUUAAUUCCGAUAACGAACGAGACUUUAAUCUCUAAUUGGAUGUGCUAGCGUAAGAUAGCACAGUUGUUUACAACCUCUUUACGAAGAGUCAACUUAGAGAGACAUAUCAACAAUUUUCCAGGACAACCCAAGGGUUGAAUGGAAGAAGGGAUAGGAAGGAAAGCAAUAACAGGUCUGUGAUGCCCUUAGACAUCUUGGGCUGCACGCGUGCUACAAUAGUAAUCAUAAAGAGUACAAUAGGCCAAGUGAUAGGUCAAUCCAUCCUCACGGAGGAAUGAACACUAAACAGGCCAACCAACACCGAGAGGUAGAGGGAAACUCGAAAGGAUACUGUAACAGGGAUUAAUGAUUGGAAUUAUUCAUUAUGAACGAGGAAUCCCUUGUAAAAUUUCGUCACUAACGAAAGUUGAAUACGUCCCUGCCCUUUGUACACACCGCCCGUCGCUCCUACCGAUUGAAUGAAAAGGUGAAGGUUUAGGAGGAAGUAACACAGUUACACCAAAUGGAUCUAAAUCUCUUCAUUUAGAGG
RNAcentral lists this ribosomal RNA (1843 nucleotides) under uncultured Entamoeba. Its description in RNAcentral is "partial 18S ribosomal RNA". It matches the Rfam family "Eukaryotic small subunit ribosomal RNA". Lineage: Eukaryota; Evosea; Mastigamoebida; Endamoebidae. The record is from RNAcentral.